AGAAAAGUAAACUAAAUUAAGUUAAUAGGUUCAUACCCUAGAUAUAGAAAACAAUUCUCUUUUCUA
This 66-nucleotide transfer RNA is filed under the name Scantius aegyptius rossii. RNAcentral's name for it is "tRNA-Met". The record is from RNAcentral. Lineage: Eukaryota; Metazoa; Arthropoda; Insecta; Hemiptera; Pyrrhocoridae.